AGUGAACGCUGGCGGUAGGCCUAACACAUGCAAGUCGAACGGAAGGACAGUAAGCGCUUGCUCUUACGGGUGGCGAGUGGCGGACGGGUGAGGAAUACAUCGGAAUCUAAUUUAUCGUGGGGGAUAACGUAGGGAAACUUAUGAUACUACAGAAUACGACCUACGGCAGAAAGCAGGGGAUAUUCGGACCUUGCCCGAUAGAAAGAGCCGAAGUCGAAUUAGCUAGUUGGCGGGGUAAAGGCACACCAAGGCGACGAUCCGUAGCUGGUCUGAGAGGAUGAUCAGCCACACUGGAACUGAGACACGGUCCAGACUCCUACGGGAGGCAGCAGUGGGGAAUCUUGGCCAAUGGGCGCAAGCCUGAUCCAGCCAUCCCGCGUGGGUGAAGAAGGCCUUCGGAUUGUAAAGCUCUUUUGUUGGGGAAGAAAAGCAGUAUAUUAACCCACCGCCGUUUUGACGGUACCCAAAGAAUAAGCACCGGCUAACUACGUG
This 492-nucleotide ribosomal RNA is filed under the name uncultured bacterium. RNAcentral describes it as "partial 16S ribosomal RNA". It matches the Rfam family "Bacterial small subunit ribosomal RNA", at positions 29 to 507 of the family's 1533-position model. The record is from RNAcentral.